Molecule: ribosomal RNA, 305 nt
Filed under: Coleomegilla maculata
Lineage: Eukaryota; Metazoa; Arthropoda; Insecta; Coleoptera; Coccinellidae
Description: eukaryotic LSU rRNA
Rfam family: Eukaryotic large subunit ribosomal RNA
Source: RNAcentral
UGACCCGUCUUGAAACACGGACCAAGGAGUCUAGCGUGUGCGCGAGUCAUUGGGAAACACUAAACCUAAAGGCGAAAUGAAAGUAAACGUUCGCUUCUUGCGAACUGAGGGAAGAUGAUUGAUCAACUAGAUCGAUCCGCAUUCCCGGGGCGUCUCGUUCUCAUUGCGAGAUGAGGCGCACCAAGAGCGUACACGCUGGGACCCGAAAGAUGGUGAACUAUGCCUGGUCAGGACGAAGUCAGGGGAAACCCUGAUGGAGGUCCGUAGCGAUUCUGACGUGCAAAUCGAUCGUCGGAACUGGGUAU